Molecule: ribosomal RNA, 253 nt
Filed under: uncultured bacterium
Lineage: Bacteria
Description: partial 16S ribosomal RNA
Rfam family: Bacterial small subunit ribosomal RNA
Source: RNAcentral
GACGGAGGGUGCUAGCGUUGUUCGGAAUUACUGGGCGUAAAGGGCGCGUAGGCGGCCUGUUAAGUCGGGUGUGAAAGCCCGGGGCUCAACCCCGGAACGGCACCCGAGACUGGCGGGCUUGAGACCGAGAGAGGAGAGUGGAAUACCCAGUGUAGAGGUGAAAUUCGUAGAUAUUGGGUGGAACACCAGUGGCGAAAGCGGCUCUCUGGCUCGGUUCUGACGCUGAGGCGCGAAAGCGUGGGGAGCAAACAGG